GUACCACUGCAGAAACAGUCAACACUCCCAUGGAACUUAAGCUCUCUAUCCAUAACAUUAAAAGCCUUAAGAAACGCCUCUUUCAGAGUUUGAAAUAGUUCAGACUCUGUGUUCUCUGGUCUAGGUUCUUCCUCGGUAGAUACAAAAGAAGCAGCAUCUUCAGAGUUGUUGUUGGCACUAUUAUUAGCAGUCUUUAGAGAAGCUUCAACAGGUACUUUAGCUUCCCAAUAAGCACUUAACUUGAGAGGAAGAUUGUCUCUGACUCUCUUAGCAACCAUAUGACCAAAAGGACCAUGCCCAUCAAACACUCCACAGAACACUGUAUCCGUCCUCGAACCAAAACUCUGCAACACACAAAAUGAAAAACCUAUAAGAGAACCAUAAACAAAGAAGACUUAAUUUGUUUUUUUUCUAAACUAACCUCCCAAACAACCAUGGCGUCUUGGUUAGGCCCUUUCUUGCCUUGUUGAGUGAAGAUACAAGCGACCUCACUAGAUCCAUUCAAGAACAUACGACCGGGGACUCGAUGGAGAGGAUCAUCUCUCCUGGAGUCAAAGGAGGAGUUUCUGGAACCGCCAAGUCUCUUAUUCUUGGAGUUUUUUCUUUUUCUCACACCAAAGCCAGGAGAGCAAGGAGAGCCCGGUCUAGGACUCAUGCUCUCAGCAGAUAGACAGGACCCCAUUCUCAGGGCCCUGAUGAUAUUGAAAAGGCACUCCAGGACCAACUAGUUGUACAAUCACACACCCACGGUGGUCUUCACCAAAAGUGGCAAAUGAAGAUUCAGCUAUGGAAAUAAAAAAAUAAACCACUCUUUAUGAUCACCAGAAAGAGCAAAUAAUGAGUAAGGAAGGAAGAAGAAACAAACCUUUAUAUUAUUAGUACCAGCUACUUUCUGCAAGAACACAUAUAGAGAGAAUAAUAAUACAGAGCAGUGUGAAUCUUAAAAAAAAAAAAACAAAAUUGAAUAUAAAAAUGAAGCCUUUCAAAGCUGACCAAGAAAAAGGUAAGGUAUGACUUCUCUGGGUUGUCUCUUCAAAGAAGAAAGAAAAACACGUUUUUGUAAUCUCGCUUUCUUCUUACAAAAAAAAAAACAUUUUGUAGAGUAAUUUAAUACCCGAAAAAGUUUCUCUAUUGGCACCACACACACACACACACAAAAAGAAAAGAGAGACAGAGGUGUUUGUUUAUUUAUUCAUCAGAACACAUCAAAAGAGUGAUUGAGAAAGAGACUGCAAACACGAGAAACAUCACAACCGUUUCUCUCUCAUUUCUUCUUCGUCUGCAACCAAUCAAAAAAUAACAAUUACUGAGAAAAAUUAACACAUAAAAAAAACUUUUAAUCGAAUUGGAGCUGAAAAAGACACUCACCAGCAGACAGAUCAAUCAAUAGGUAAGUAGGGAGGAUCUCAGAAUCAGAUUCAAUCCAGGAAAAUUAACAAAAGAUAAGGAAGAUUGAUUCUGUUGGCGCGUAGAGAGGAACAGAAGAAUAGAAAACUGAGAGAGAGAGAAGAUGGUAAUUUUUAAAAGGAGAAAGAAACGCAACCACCCAGCUACAAACUCGUUCUUUCUUCUUCAGCUUUCUACUUUUUAUGUGUAGAGAGAGAAAGAAAGUUAUAAACAGAGCAAUAGAGUUUAUUGAUUUUUUUUUUUCCAUAGAGAUUGGGUUUAUUAUUAUAUAAAUAUUUUUUUGAGGCUUUCCUACACACAAUAAAAAGAAUAUCCAUUCAAAUAUAUAAUAAGGUCUCUCGAUCAGUCAAUCAUCACAUGAAAGUGAGAGAUUAUCAGAUUUAAUCCAUUAACAUUAUAAAAUAUGGACUAUACUGCUUCUCUCAAUCCAACUAAGAUUAAGAUUAGAAGAAUCAAAAACUGGUUUAUCAUUUACAGUACUAAACUACUUCUUUGGUCAGCUUAAUCAUUACUAUUUUUAAAGUUAAUCAUGUUUAUGAUAAGUAUACUUUUAUUUAACAAAAGUACGCGGUUGUUAUGAAAAAAAAUGACUGUUUAACGAGGAUAAAAAUCAAAAUAUAUAAAAUAUUUCAUUUUGUAAGAAUUAUGGUGGAUAAAAUGGUACUACUAUCGUUGUAUUUAAUUUGAUUGGAAUGACAGAAGGGAACAAACUCUCAGCUGUGGAACCCAGAAGAAGGGUCACUAAACACAUGCAUGCACACAAGAACUCAAUACACAUGUCGGCAACGAGGCGCAGAUUCCAACACGUUAUCAAACUUCUUCUCAUGCAAGCAGAUCUGCAGAUCAACGUUUUUUGAACAAGAAGACAACCUCUGUUUGUGUUUAUUUUCUCUAUCUCUCUCAUGAAAUCCAAAAUCAUUUUUGACUUUUGCAGUCUCAUCUUCUUCCCAUCUCAAUCAGAUAAUCCAACUCUUUUUUUGGAUAAUAUCAGUGAUUAACUUCAUUUGGAUAUCAAGCUAAUCUAAAUAACUAAUCAGUAUAGCUAAGGUCCAUAAUGUUGUAUAUCCAAUUACUGUAGCUAAAUUGUAGUUGAAAUUAUCAGAAUGAGAUUAGUCGUUAAUUUAACUAUUAAUUUUUAUUUUUAUUUGGAUCAAAUUUCAACUAUUAAUUUUACUGUAGAUUAAUUACUGAUCAAACAAAAUCAAAUCUGGUCGGUUAUCUAUCUACUAAAAUAAUCAUAUCUCAACCAGAUCUAAUCAAAAUUCCUUUCCUCUAAAUAGUAAAAAUACCAAGGCAUCAUCAUCAACAUCAAAAUCUCCUACUUUUUUAUCUUCAAGAACAACAAUCACAAGAUUUUGAGUCAUCAUCAGAAUUGUAUAAACUAGAUAUAAAAAUAAAAAUACAACACAAUGUGUUUCAUUUUCAAGACAACUCAGAGACGUUUCAACAAUUCAGCAACGAAACUGUCUCUAGAAACACCUUUAACUUCCUCCUCACUCCACUCGACCAUCUUCUUCAAUGUCACAACACCUUUACUGAGUUCUGUGUUGCCUACAAUCACCAUCCAAGGAAUCUCUGAACCCUUGCAACGAGCACGAUCAAAAUGUUUUCCUCUCCUUUGGUCACAAUAUACUGACUAGCCAGUUCUGCAGCUUCCCCUAGCUUAUUCUCCUCCGUUACACUAACCAAAACCUGUGUCUCUGUAGAUAGAACAACCUCCAAUUCAUACCAAAACAAAAAAUAAAAGUUAGAAAAAACAAAAUCUUAGGACAGUAAGAAAAAAAGAUUGAGAAGUAAGUUUUUACUCGUUUUUGUUCCUCUUCCAGUUUUUGUCACUUUUCCAAUAUAUUAAACACUCGCUCGAUCCCCAGGCUCAUGCCAACCGCAGGGACUUGCUUUGCUCCAAACAUUCCUAUAAGGUUAUCAAUUUUGAUGAUGUCCUUGUCACAAAACUCAACUUAACUUCUUCACUUUCCAGGCACAAAUCUUGGUAAGUUCAAAAGUGUAUUAACUCUUGCAACACCUUCUAGUGCAGAAUACUCUGUUCCAUGUUCUGUAUCCUCUUCUUUUAUCAGCUUCUCAGCUUCACUUUAGUCUAGAGCAAUAUCUUUCCCUGUUCUGACAGUACUAGACCUGCCUAGACCGCUUGGACCUGAUCCAUCAUCAAUCUCAUCUCCAUCUUCAAGUUUGGAGAAGGAAGAAGCUGUAGAUAUGGCGUUUGAGCCAUUGGAGUUUAGAUACAAGCAGACCGCAGCACAGUCAUCGACUUUGGAGGUUGGGUACUUGUGUCUCCACGCUCUAACCGCAGUCUCAACUAAAGCUCUUGCUGCAGAGGAACGUGAUGGUGCUGAAGCUACAAUCUUCACUACUUCCUCAUUUGAGAGUACAUCCCAAAUCUAUCACACAAAAACAUUAGAAACUGAGCCAAGAAAAUGGAUAGAGAAAAGGAAUGUUUAUGCUCUUAUCAAUUACCCCAUCUGUAGCCAACACUAUGAACUCAUCUUUUUCGGUUAAUCGGCGAAAUGAAACCUCAGGGACAGAGAUUAGACCAAAGUCUUUAAGGCAAAAGUCUCCGAAAGCACGUGCCAUUGCAAGACCAGGCGAGUCACAGUUUGGGAGCCAGACUCUACAAACAUCAGGCUCAUCUCUAAGAGCAAACACACGUCCUCUACACUUCUUUAUUCUCUCCUCCUCAGCUGCAAAAAUCAAGCAAUCAGCACAACUUCAACAAUGAGAUCCAUCAUAAGUUCUUUGUUAUCAUUCAAACCUGGUAGAUUUGGCUUGAGAUCCACAGUUAGUUGAACAGCAACAAGACCAUUUUUACCGUCUCUUGUCCCCAUCACAGCUCUAGAGUCUCCAACGUUUCCAACAACGAGAUACUCACCCUACCAUAAAGCAUAGAAUAUAUAAUAAAAACCAAGAAACAGUGAACCACACUACCAAGCCGAGAGAGUACCUGUUUGAUCAAAGUCACAGCCGUUGUACCACUGCAGAAACAGUCAACACUCCCAUGGAACUUAAGCUCUCUAUCCAUAACAUUAAAAGCCUUAAGAAACGCCUCUUUCAGAGUUUGAAAUAGUUCAGACUCUGUGUUCUCUGGUCUAGGUUCUUCCUCGGUAGAUACAAAAGAAGCAGCAUCUUCAGAGUUGUUGUUGGCACUAUUAUUAGCAGUCUUUAGAGAAGCUUCAACAGGUACUUUAGCUUCCCAAUAAGCACUUAACUUGAGAGGAAGAUUGUCUCUGACUCUCUUAGCAACCAUAUGACCAAAAGGACCAUGCCCAUCAAACACUCCACAGAACACUGUAUCCGUCCUCGAA
Molecule: long non-coding RNA, 4724 nt
Filed under: Brassica napus (rape)
Lineage: Eukaryota; Viridiplantae; Streptophyta; Magnoliopsida; Brassicales; Brassicaceae
Description: long non-coding RNA (BNAP_LNC000861)
Source: RNAcentral